This 3331-nucleotide long non-coding RNA is filed under the name Brassica napus (rape). RNAcentral describes it as "long non-coding RNA (BNAP_LNC018396)". The record is from RNAcentral. Lineage: Eukaryota; Viridiplantae; Streptophyta; Magnoliopsida; Brassicales; Brassicaceae.
AACAAAAUAAAAUCCUUGAUCUUCUGAAGAUGUGAAUCCAAACUAUUUAUUGUUUGAUCUGAUCUUGUCUGAAUUCCGACAGAUGCUUUCAGUUUCUCUCUUACCAAAUCUGAAGAUUGAAAGGUUCUUGCUUAGCCCACAAGUUACAACAAGAAUCAAAAACAUCAAUCAAUUAAUCAUACUUUUCUCUCCAUGAAUAAACAAGAAAGAAAACCCAAGAGAUCCCUAAAGCUAUAUCUCCAAGAGCUUGCUUAGGCCAUUCAUAAGCAAGAUCCGGAACACGCCCUCUCUUGUGCUUGUAAACCACUCAUCCUGCAAUCACAUUCUCACAAUGUUACGCCAUGAAAAUUCCAAAAAGACACAGUCAACAAUAACCAAAGAGUAAACGAAACAUUUAAACAAGGUAACAUAGGUUAAGCUUAUCAGGGUAGAUCAGUACACGUGAAACAUUAAACAUUUGAAAAAUAAAUCCAAUAUACAGUAAAACACUAAUCAACUGAAAAGGUCUUCUAACAUAGCUUAUUUUUGUUACUGGUUACACCAAGUAGUUUUAAACCUCACAGAACCUUGAUUAACAACUAAACCAAUUGAAAUGGUCUCCUAAGUUAAAAUCAAGUUACUCUGAAAAUUGUUAAUAUCAACAAUGCAAUAUCAUCAAAAGUUAACUAACUUGGUUCAAGCAAGUAACUAAGCCAGAUAAGGGUCGACAGCAGAUGGGGAUAAAGCUUCACGACUGCCUAAUAAAGAAUCAAUCUUUGUCGGUGAUUGAUAGAUUCAGUAAUCCGGAGCAUCGAUAAAUCAAAUCAGGCAAAACCCUUUAAAGACAUUGGUCGGAACUUAAAACCCAGAGUCUCAAAUUACGAAAUCUCAUUACUCAUAUGAAUAAAAAUUCAGAAACAAAUUUAACUAAAACUCUAAUUCUAUUAAACGAACGAACGAGCAAGCAGGCGAACAAACAAUCAUCGGUAGAAAAAUGGAAGCCUUUUUUCUAAAAUUCAAUCGCACCGUCUUUGAAUAUGAUCUUAGAAUUGGAGAAAAAAAACAGAUCAAGACAAGAAGCUUCGGAGAUUAAUAAACAACUGACCUUUGAUCGGCUUAAAGGAGGAGGAGUCGAGCAGCGGAGAACCAGAGAGAAUCUUCGGGAGAAAAAGAAGAAAUGAGAACUGUAAUUAGAAGCUUUACCAGAAGUACAGUUAAAAAUAAUUUAAUAUAUACCCAAUAAUUUAAUAGUUAAUGGGCCCUAAAUGGGCUAUUCAAGCCAGUAUAGUUUUUUUUUCCACAAAAGACAACAUGAGUCUACUAAUUUUAUUGACAAUCAAAGAAAGAAUCAACAAGGGAUUGAUUCGUGAGUAUUUUACAAGUGGUGUAAAGUUUUCCACAGCCUAAAUAAUAUAAUAUUUAAAGCACAAUUUUUUUCCAAUGAUGAUUUUUAAUGAUUUUUAAAGCUAUAAUUUUUUUUCUUUUCUAUGGCUGUUCGAAAUUAAAAUUGCUGAAACACUUAUAUUUGGGUUUAGAAAAUUUAUAUGUAUAUCACUAAAAAGUUUCAAAUCUAAAACUGAAAUCUUACUGCAAAAAUAUUUAUAGUCACUUCAAAACAUAUAUAUAUAAUAGAAACUCUAUAAAUUAAUACAUAAUGAAUUAAUAAAAUAAAUUUAUUAAUAACUUUUGUCGGUUCUAGGUUAAAUAAAUUUAACAUAUGACGCAAAUUGAUAAAAUAAUAAGAUAAUAAUUUUAGAAGAUUACAUAUGUAUAUAAUCUCAUUAUAAUCAUAAAUUAAUUCAUUAUAUAUGUAGUUUAUAUAAAGAUAAUAAUAUAUUGUAUUGUUUGUUUUAUAUUUACAGUGAAAUAUAUUUCUAUUUUUCUUAAGAUUUCAUAAUAUAUGGAUGAUAAUUAAUAAAUACAUAUCAAACAUUUUAAUUAUAGGUUACAUAUUUCAUAAACUUUAAACAAUAAAAAUUAUUAAAGUUAAAUUCAUAAAAAAAUGAAUAUAUAAACAGUGAAAUCAAAUAUUUUUCUUGUUUCAUAAAAACAUAUAUUCUAAGAUAUAUAAAUCUAGAAAAUGAUUUUUAUAAAUUAAUAAAAUAUUAAAAAUUUGUUUGAAAUACACUAACUUAUUACUAUUCUCAAAAAUACACUUAAUAAAAAAUACUCUAAUAUUUGAGUUUACGGUUUAAUGAUUAUUUUUAGUAUUUAUGGGGUAAGGUUAGAUUUAUAAAAUUUUAUAAAUAAUUUUAAACAUCUAUAAAUGAUUUAGGAGAUUUAAUUUUAUCCUUUUCAUAAUAAAUUUAAAGUAUUUAUGAAAAUAAUUAGAGAAAUUGCCUAAGAUAUUAUUUUUUAAGUUUUUGUCACAAAAAUAGCUAUCAAUGAGAAAAAUGACUAAAAGAAGUUUUACUAGAAGGUAAAAGUAUAUUUUUACCCUAGGGUUAACUAAUCUAGAUUUAAUAUUUAGAGUUAAUCGGUGGAGUUUUUUUUUAGAAGGUUUGUUAAAAAAAAAAAGAGAUGGGGUUUUAGGGAUAAGAUUUCAAAUUUUAAAAAAAAAAAAUAGUAAAAAUUUCAAAAUACAAAGGGAUUAUUUUUUUCAUUUUCUUUUUUGAUAACUAUUUUUUGUGACAAAAACUUAAAAUAGCUAUUUGAGAGAAUUGUCCAAAUAAUUAUCAUUUAAAUAUAAAUUUGAAAAAUGAUAUAAAAUUUGAAUUAAAAUUAGAAUUUUCUUAAAAUAUUACAGUUUCAAUAAUAUUAAUUUAUAGAGAUUUUACUGUGGUUUUAAUUCUACGUCACUGAAUAUAAAGCGGUUCAUUCAAAUCAAAUCAGACCCAAAAUCAUAUGAUCCUACUGAAUUCAAUUAUUACAUUAUUAGUGGCUGAAAAUGGGCUACACCGGACCCAUAACCAUAUAUUUACGUUUUUUACAAAUUGACAAGAGGAUAAUAAGAUAGAAUGUAAUUUUCAGCUUUUUCAUUAUUAAUUAAUCAAAAAUCAGAAUCUCAGAUUCUCUUUUCACAAUGAGUUUGGAUUUGAUUCAGCAAAAUAUAGAGGAUCUACAUAGCAAUAAUUAAAGACCAAACAAAAUAAAAUCCUUGAUCUUCUGAAGAUGUGAAUCCAAACUAUUUAUUGUUUGAUCUGAUCUUGUCUGAAUUCCGACAGAUGCUUUCAGUUUCUCUCUUACCAAAUCUGAAGAUUGAAAGGUUCUUGCUUAGCCCACAAGUUACAACAAGAAUCAAAAACAUCAAUCAAUUAAUCAUACUUUUCUCUCCAUGAAUAAACAAGAAAGAAAACCCAAGAGAUCCCUAAAGCUAUAUCUCCAAGAGCUUGCUUAGGCCAUUCAUAAGCAA